Molecule: ribosomal RNA, 911 nt
Filed under: Aspergillus novoparasiticus
Lineage: Eukaryota; Fungi; Ascomycota; Eurotiomycetes; Eurotiales; Aspergillaceae
Description: LSU rRNA
Rfam family: Eukaryotic large subunit ribosomal RNA
Source: RNAcentral
UUAGCAUAUCAAUAAGCGGAGGAAAAGAAACCAACCGGGAUUGCCUCAGUAACGGCGAGUGAAGCGGCAAGAGCUCAAAUUUGAAAGCUGGCUCCUUCGGGGUCCGCAUUGUAAUUUGCAGAGGAUGCUUCGGGUGCGGCCCCUGUCUAAGUGCCCUGGAACGGGCCGUCAGAGAGGGUGAGAAUCCCGUCUGGGAUGGGGUGUCCGCGCCCGUGUGAAGCUCCUUCGACGAGUCGAGUUGUUUGGGAAUGCAGCUCUAAAUGGGUGGUAAAUUUCAUCUAAAGCUAAAUACUGGCCGGAGACCGAUAGCGCACAAGUAGAGUGAUCGAAAGAUGAAAAGCACUUUGAAAAGAGAGUUAAAAAGCACGUGAAAUUGUUGAAAGGGAAGCGCUUGCGACCAGACUCGCCUCCAGGGUUCAGCCGGCAUUCGUGCCGGUGUACUUCCCUGGGGGCGGGCCAGCGUCGGUUUGGGCGGCCGGUCAAAGGCUCCCGGAAUGUAGUGCCCUCCGGGGCACCUUAUAGCCGGGAGUGCAAUGCGGCCAGCCUGGACCGAGGAACGCGCUUCGGCACGGACGCUGGCAUAAUGGUCGUAAACGACCCGUCUUGAAACACGGACCAAGGAGUCUAACAUCUACGCGAGUGUUCGGGUGUCAAACCCGUACGCGCAGUGAAAGCGAACGGAGGUGGGAGCCCCCUCGUGGGGCGCACCAUCGACCGAUCCUGAUGUCUUCGGAUGGAUUUGAGUAAGAGCGUAAAUGUGGGGACCCGAAAGAUGGUGAACUAUGCCUGAAUAGGGCGAAGCCAGAGGAAACUCUGGUGGAGGCUCGCAGCGGUUCUGACGUGCAAAUCGAUCGUCAAAUUUGGGUAUAGGGGCGAAAGACUAAUCGAACCAUCUAGUAGCUGGUUCUGCA